Molecule: transfer RNA, 75 nt
Filed under: Paenalicyclobacillus cellulosilyticus
Lineage: Bacteria; Bacillati; Bacillota; Bacilli; Caryophanales; Alicyclobacillaceae
Description: Alicyclobacillus cellulosilyticus tRNA-Gln
Rfam family: tRNA
About the family: Transfer RNA (tRNA) molecules are approximately 80 nucleotides in length.
Source: RNAcentral
UGGGGAGUAGCCAAGCGGUAAGGCAACGGACUUUGACUCCGUCAUGCGUAGGUUCGAGUCCUACCUCCCCAGCCA